Molecule: long non-coding RNA, 1825 nt
Organism: Salvelinus fontinalis (brook trout)
Lineage: Eukaryota; Metazoa; Chordata; Actinopteri; Salmoniformes; Salmonidae
Exons: 4
Source: RefSeq, a predicted model, not a curated record
UCACUUAGUUCCCUGCUUAGCAAGAAUGAUGCAAUGUUUAGCGAUAAGGAGGAGACUCCACCCAAAGUGGGGUAUGAAUACCACCACGGGGGGAAGCCAUGUUUGUGUCUGAAUUACAGCUGUAUCGACCUUUUGGGAAGAAUUAAACUUGGUCAAAUCCUGUCCUGCACUCAAGUCAAGCCUCUGAACACCUCAACUCAUACCCUCAUUCAAUCACUGCUGUGAUCCCUUCCCAAUACUGUGUAAGUAGCCCUCUCAUUACCCAUUAAUAUUGUACUAUAAAUGUCUUUUAUUAAAUGCUUUAGGUUAAAAUAAUUACUCUUCAACGAUUUUUGAAACACACUUUGUCGUCUCCGUACGUUCCGCUCCUAGAGCGUGGGUCUCCCGUCCUCCUCAAAUGUUCAAGUCACCAGCCUCCACUGAUUUGAACGUAAACAUUUGUUUUUAUCAAAAAUGCGUAUUUGGGCAGAAAUGCCUUCUGGAACAUGUGAACUUUAAUUUACCUUAAACGUGUAUGCCAUGUAAAACGUGUAUGUCCUGUAAAACGUGUAUGUCCUGUAAAUAAGAAUAUGAUUGUUAAAUUACGAGCCUAGUUGGUUUAGCCACUGAAAAAGACAGCCCUGAUUGGCUGCGAUAAUGGAUGGGCUGGACAUGCCGAGAGAUUCGUUUGGAUUGAUCUGCCAUGUAGCAUGCUUCUGUCUAUAUAACAUGAGCUGCUCAGUAUUGUAGAUAAUCCUUUCUACUGCAUCUUGUUGAAAGAUAUCGUGAAGAUCUGCAGUUGUAUUGUUACUGUUCACAACAGAAUUUAACAGGCGCUAUCGACAAAGAUCAGUGGGAAAACGUUGUGAUGAACUACUUUCUGGAGGACGAUCAUGCCAUGCUGUCUCUGACUCUGAAAAUGAGUCAGACGAUGAGGAAAUCCCUGAUUUUAAGGGGGGGGGGGAUUAUUGAACCAGACAUUGUAGUCUUCUGAUAACAGUGAUGGGGAAGAAAUGGCUGUCAACAGUGUUGUUGAGUUUUGAAAUCAGUGGAAUGCCCUUUGGAAGCAGCGUAUGAUUGCAAAUGCGGUGGGAGUGGAAAAGAGAACACAGAAGGCUGUUGUAUAAAACACUUGUCUCUGGAUUACAUCUUCAAACUAAAGGGCAACCGAGGCAUCCGUGACAGAGAGGGAGAAGCGUUCCUCUUUGUAUACAGUCAACAGCACCUCAAAAGAUGAGGGAAUACAUUGUUUAGGAGGAUUACCUGCUGCAGUUGUUCGAGAGAUGUCCAGUUUGCAGCCGAAAACAUUCAACAUAGAGAAGACUAGCAAGAGGACCAUCAGCAUCACGCUGACAUGCCCUCGCUGUGAGCAUUCCUAUAAAUGGCAACAGGGAGGACACUUGAAUCAGGUUGGUGACAUUUGACCUGGUCAAAGGUCACAACAGUUUUGUCCCAAUUCACCUGCAUAACCUAUAGCCUGGUGGAACCAGCCUGAUCGCUGCAUUUGCCAUUCUAUUUCACUUCAUGAUAUCUGAACCGUGAAUGAGCUGAUCUACGCUACCAUGAUGGGUGCUGACAAAGACCAGUCUCACCUCCAGUCUCACCUCCAGUCUCACCUCCAGUCUCACCUCCAGUCUCACCUCCAGUCUCACCUCCUGUCUCACCUCCUGUCUCACCUCCUGUCUCACCUCCUGCUUGCUCGACUAGCAGUCGGCGAUGGGGAGACCAGAAUUAGAAACAUGUAUGGAGCCAGAACAUGGAGACUUGCUGUGAUGCAGUUCAGACUGGCUUGAUACUGAUGUCUCUGAAUGGAGAAAGACCUGGCACUCGGCAUAAACAUUUUACU